RNAcentral lists this ribosomal RNA (466 nucleotides) under uncultured bacterium. Its description in RNAcentral is "bacterial SSU rRNA". It matches the Rfam family "Bacterial small subunit ribosomal RNA", at positions 329 to 793 of the family's 1533-position model. The record is from RNAcentral.
UUCCAGACUCCUACGGGAGGCAGCAGUGAGGAAUAUUGGUCAAUGGCCAAGAGGCUGAACCAGCCAAGUCGCGUGAGGGAAGACGGCCCUACGGGUUGUAAACCUCUUUUGUCGGGGAGCAAAGCGAGUCACGUGUGACUCAUUGAGAGUACCCGAAGAAAAAGCAUCGGCUAACUCCGUGCCAGCAGCCGCGGUAAUACGGAGGAUGCGAGCGUUAUCCGGAUUUAUUGGGUUUAAAGGGUGCGCAGGCGGAAUGUCAAGUCAGCGGUAAAAUUUCGGGGCUCAACCCCGUCGUGCCGUUGAAACUGGCGUUCUUGAGUGAGCGAGAAGUAUGCGGAAUGCGUGGUGUAGCGGUGAAAUGCAUAGAUAUCACGCAGAACUCCGAUUGCGAAGGCAGCAUACCGGCGCUCAACUGACGCUCAUGCACGAAAGCGUGGGUAUCGAACAGGAUUAGAUACCCCCGUAA